This 236-nucleotide long non-coding RNA is filed under the name Lathyrus oleraceus (garden pea). RNAcentral's name for it is "Pisum sativum (pea) long non-coding RNA (PSAT_LNC027340)". Lineage: Eukaryota; Viridiplantae; Streptophyta; Magnoliopsida; Fabales; Fabaceae. The record is from RNAcentral.
GGAACUUGCCCAUCCUUCAUAACAGGAUAAAUGUUAAUGGGCCCAAUAUUGAACUGGACAAGGAUGACACGGUCUAUGCCUUGUGUUCAAUAUAGACAUAAGGGCAAAAAGGGUAAUUGUACACAUAAGUAUUAUCACAAAAGGAUUUGUCAGAUCACAUGACAUUUUCGUGUCUUGGGUAGUAGUGAUGUGUUGCUAGAUACCGCUCACUGUUUAUUAUGUUAAAUACAUGAUUU